RNAcentral lists this ribosomal RNA (450 nucleotides) under uncultured Thiotrichales bacterium. RNAcentral's name for it is "bacterial SSU rRNA". It matches the Rfam family "Bacterial small subunit ribosomal RNA", at positions 1077 to 1532 of the family's 1533-position model. The record is from RNAcentral. Lineage: Bacteria; Pseudomonadati; Pseudomonadota; Gammaproteobacteria; Thiotrichales.
UGGGUAGUCCGUACGAGCGCACCCUAUCCUUAGUUGCCAGCGAGUAUGUCGGGAACUCUAGGGAGACUGCCGGUGACAAACCGGAGGAAGGUGGGGACGACGUCAAGUCAUCAUGGCCCUUAUGGGCAGGGCUACACACGUGCUACAAUGGCCGGCACAGAGGGCUGCGAAGUCGCAAGGCUGAGCGAAUCUCAGAAAACCGGUCGUAGUCCGGAUUGCAGUCUGCAACUCGACUGCAUGAAGUUGGAAUCGCUAGUAAUCGCGGAUCAGAAUGCCGCGGUGAAUACGUUCCCGGGCCUUGUACACACCGUCCGUCACACCAUGGGAGUGGGCUGUACCAGAAGUAGGUAGUCUAACCUUCGGGGGGACGCUUACCACGGUGUGGUUCAUGACUGGGGUGAAGUCGUAACAAGGUAGCCCUAGGGGAACCUGGGGCUGGAUCACCUCCUU